Molecule: ribosomal RNA, 480 nt
Filed under: uncultured bacterium
Lineage: Bacteria
Description: bacterial SSU rRNA
Rfam family: Bacterial small subunit ribosomal RNA
Source: RNAcentral
GAUGAACGCUGGCGGCGUGCCUAAUACAUGCAAGUCGAACGAGGUGCUUUUGUAGUAAUACGAAAGUGUCCUAGUGGCGAACGGGUGAGUAACGCGUUGGUGACCUACCCCAAAGUGUGGGAUAACAGUUCGAAAGGAUUGCUAAUACCGCAUGUGGUCUUCGGAUUUAGAAACUGAUGACUAAAGGAGUAAUCCGCUUUGGGAGGGACCUGCGUCCCAUCAGCUAGUUGGUGAGGUAAUGGCUCACCAAGGCUACGACGGGUAGGGGACCUGAGAGGGUGACCCCCCCACAAUGGAACUGAAACACGGUCCAUACACCUACGGGUGGCAGCAGUAGGGAAUAUUGCACAAUGGGCGAAAGCCUGAUGCAGCAACGCCGCGUGUGCGAUGAAGGCCUUCGGGUCGUAAGGCACUUUUCUGAGGGAUGAGCAAGGACAGUACCUCAGGAAUAAGUCUCGGCUAACUACGUGCCAGCAGCCG